UACGGGGGGAGCAAGCGUUGUUCGGAAUCACUGGGCGUAAAGGGCGUGUAGGCGGUCCGCUAAGUCUGAUGUGAAAGCCCGGGGCUCACCCCCGGAAGGGCAUUGGAAACUGGCGGACUCGAGUCCCGGAGAGGAAGGUGGAAUUCCUGGUGUAGCGGUGAAAUGCGUAGAUAUCAGGAGGAAUACCGGUGGCGAAGGCGGCCUUCUGGACGGUGACUGACGCUGAGACGCGAAAGCGUGGGGAGCAAACAGG
Molecule: ribosomal RNA, 253 nt
Filed under: uncultured bacterium
Lineage: Bacteria
Description: partial 16S ribosomal RNA
Rfam family: Bacterial small subunit ribosomal RNA
Source: RNAcentral